AUAAAUAGUCUGGCCUGCCCACUGAUGUUUAAAGGGCCGCGGUAUUUGGACCGUGCUAAGGUAGCAUAAUCAAUAGUCUUUUAAUUGGGGUCUAGAAUGAAUGGUCGGAUGAGGUGCAAGUUUUCUGCUAGUGUGUUAUUGAAUUUUACUUUUAAGUGAAAAGGCUUAAAUAAUUUAGUGGGACGAUAAGACCCUGUGAAGCUUUAUUUUAGUUGUAUCUUGAUACUUAAUAUGUUGGUGAAUUGAGGUUAGGUUUGGCUGGAAUUGUGUUGGGGCGACAAGAAUAUAUAAUAAAACUGUUUGUGUAUUGAAAAAUAAUUAAUUUUUAGAGAAUUGAUCCUGAUGUUGUGGAUUAGAAGAUUAAAGUUACUCCAGGGAUAACAGCGUAAUUUUCUUUGAGAGUUCAUAUCGACAAGAAUAGUUGCGACCUCGAUGUUGAAUUAAGAUUUCAUUAAAGUGCAGGAGCUUUAAUUGUAGGUCUGUUC
This 485-nucleotide ribosomal RNA is filed under the name Typhlatya monae. Its description in RNAcentral is "partial 16S ribosomal RNA". It matches the Rfam family "Bacterial large subunit ribosomal RNA", at positions 1845 to 2582 of the family's 2925-position model. The record is from RNAcentral. Lineage: Eukaryota; Metazoa; Arthropoda; Malacostraca; Decapoda; Atyidae.